GUGAACUCGUGUUCAUUCAGCAGUCAGUAAAGCACGAAGAAGGACGCAAAGCGGAAGCAGCGAGGAAGGGCACAAAGCGGGGAAGAAAGCUAACCAAUGCAAAUCAUGUGACGUUUGUUGAGAGUGCAUGUUCAUUCAGCAGACAGUUGGUAAAGGACAAAAAAGCAGACACAAAGCAAGGAAGGAAGAGAGCAGAGACUUUCAUUAUUUCCAUGCAUGUAAAUUGAAAUGAUGAUGGUCCUUGUGUAGAGAUCCAGACACUUUGUUCCCAAGGUGCUGUGAAAUGGUGUGAAGUGUCGUGCAUGUUUUCUGCCUUCACUCUACUAGACCACUAAUGCAUGGAUCUUCAGUAUCUUCAGUUAGAACUGUGAUGACACUGAGGAAAUAUUCUACAAUCUUCACCAUGGUUGCGGUUGAAUUGUAAUUCCCAAGUAGCAAUUGCUGUACAGUGUAAAGCCAGCAUGUAUGUUUUUCUAAGAAAGGGACAAGGUGUGUUAGAAAGGGACAAGGUGUGUCAAGGUGGAAGCUGUGCAUCUGGAAAGGAUGGGAGUAGUUGUAUUCCAAUGGCUGUAAGCAUAAAAUCACCUGGCCUUGUGUGGAAGACAUCUAUGAAUCGAUCAACCAGAUGUAUACCUCUAACUUAAACUCCUGAAAAUCCCCAUGGUUGUGGGUGGUGCAGACAGAAUGUGAGCCACAAUGUACAUCUGUAAAAGCCCAGACAUUCUGUAUGUAGGAGUAUCUUCAUUCUUCAAGUCUGUACAAGAGAUCUAUGUGCAGAUGAUAGCCAAGAUGAUACAAUGAUUCAGCACAUUAUAUCAAUCCAGCUGAAGGACAACGUAUCCAUUGAUGCAGUUGCAUCUUAGCUAAGAAGUUAACUUGGAUCUGCUUCACAGGGAGUCACUGAUUAUCAACUAAGUAGUAGGAUACAGUUUUCUGAUCAGAUGAAAUCGCUUUAUCUUAUCUGGCUGAAUUUAAAGAGCUGAGGCUACCAUCAGGAAAAUCUACCAUGUAAUAACGCUAAUCCAGAACAUUGCUACUGAGUCUACCACACAGUAAUGCUGACAAGGAAAUAACUAUUGAGUCUACUACACAGUAACACAAACCCAGAGGAUAACUACUAUGUCUUCUAUACAGUAACAUUCAAGUAAUGGUCAAAGGUGGUAGUGAAAACUCACUGAAUGUGACAUCAAAGUUUAGAUGACUGUGAGAGAAAGAUAGUUAUACUUACUAGUAAAAAUCUAUAAGAUUAGAUAUUAAAAUAAUGUUUAAAAAUGACAGUAGGUACACUAAAAUGUGAAUAAUAUGUGUUUUGAUUGAUAAUGUUAAAUAAUAAAGUGUAACUGAUUG
Long non-coding RNA from Mercenaria mercenaria, 1347 nucleotides. RefSeq lists it as uncharacterized. The record is from RefSeq and is a predicted model, not a curated record. Lineage: Eukaryota; Metazoa; Mollusca; Bivalvia; Venerida; Veneridae. The transcript has 8 exons.